RNAcentral lists this ribosomal RNA (301 nucleotides) under uncultured bacterium. Its description in RNAcentral is "partial 16S ribosomal RNA". It matches the Rfam family "Bacterial small subunit ribosomal RNA", at positions 509 to 808 of the family's 1533-position model. The record is from RNAcentral.
CAGUAGCCGCGGUAAUACGUAGGUCCCGAGCGUUGUCCGGAUUUAUUGGGCGUAAAGCGAGCGCAGGCGGUUAGAUAAGUCUGAAGUUAAAGGCUGUGGCUUAACCAUAGUACGCUUUGGAAACUGUUUAACUUGAGUGCAAGAGGGGAGAGUGGAAUUCCAUGUGUAGCGGUGAAAUGCGUAGAUAUAUGGAGGAACACCGGUGGCGAAAGCGGCUCUCUGGCUUGUAACUGACGCUGAGGCUCGAAAGCGUGGGGAGCAAACAGGAUUAGAUACCCGCGUAGUCCCUGUCUCUUAUACA